GAGUUUGAUCCUGGCUCAGGAUGAACGCUGGCGGCGUGCCUAACACAUGCAAGUCGAGCGGUAUAUACUUUAUCAAAUCUUCGGAAGAGAGACGGUAUAGAGAGCGGCGGACGGGUGAGUAACGCGUAGGCAACCUGCCCCAUACAGAGGGAUAGCCUCGGGAAACCGGGAUUAAAACCUCAUAACGCGAGAGGUUCAUAUGGACCUUUCGCCAAAGAUUUAUCGGUAUGGGAUGGGCCUGCGUCUGAUUAGCUAGUUGGUGGGGUAACGGCCUACCAAGGCGACGAUCAGUAGCCGACCUGAGAGGGUAAUCGGCCACAUUGGAACUGAGACACGGUCCAAACUCCUACGGGAGGCAGCAGUGGGGAAUAUUGCACAAUGGGCGAAAGCCUGAUGCAGCAACGCCGCGUGAGCGAUGAAGGCCUUUGGGUCGUAAAGCUCUGUCCUUGGGGAAGAAUAAAUGACGGUACCCUUGAGGAAGCCCCGGCUAACUACGUGCCAGCC
RNAcentral lists this ribosomal RNA (504 nucleotides) under uncultured bacterium. Its description in RNAcentral is "bacterial SSU rRNA". It matches the Rfam family "Bacterial small subunit ribosomal RNA", at positions 9 to 513 of the family's 1533-position model. The record is from RNAcentral.